This 238-nucleotide unclassified non-coding RNA is filed under the name Hevea brasiliensis (rubber tree). The record is from RNAcentral. Lineage: Eukaryota; Viridiplantae; Streptophyta; Magnoliopsida; Malpighiales; Euphorbiaceae.
GUUGGGUUCAACGCCUUGCUUCAACACAUUCUCAUAAAGCAAAUUUGCUUCUUCGAUCAUAUUUCUGUCAAGAUAGGACUCCAUCAUCACAUUUGAAACUCUGAUGUCAAAGAAUUUACAAUGUGACUCCAAUUCUCUAAAACGUUUCUCAAGGGCUUCCGAGUCCCCCAGUUUGGAUAGAGCCAAAAGCACGAUGAGAUAGCUAAACUUGCUGGGAGUUGGGAAAACUGACUUUAAU